Molecule: long non-coding RNA, 1693 nt
Organism: Centruroides sculpturatus (bark scorpion)
Lineage: Eukaryota; Metazoa; Arthropoda; Arachnida; Scorpiones; Buthidae
Exons: 2
Source: RefSeq, a predicted model, not a curated record
UUAUUAGUUGCCUACUAGCAUAUAGAAAGAGCAAUGUACUCGAAAACAAUGUUUAAAAUCACAAAACAUUAUUGGUUAAAUGGAAAAGUUUCUGGAAUUUUCUAGAUCUACAGAAUAUUCGAUUUGUUCUCCGACAGACGGAAUUUAGAAGUUUCUUACAAGAUACGUAAAUGAAUGAUAUCAAGGUGCACGGCCAUAACCGGAAAGAUAUUCUGCGUGACAAUACCAAGUUUUUAAAUACAUCAAAUUUGCAAAGACGAUCUUUACGAUAUCAAUUUGGUAUAAAAUAAACUCAAUCUUAUUGCCGUAUGGUGCAAUUUUUUGAUAAUCACGUCUUCUCCGAGUCUACAAUUUACGAUUAGUAAAUUUAAAGUUAAAUAAGUUUUAGGGAAAGAUACGUAUUUAGAAUUUUUAAAAUAGCGAGAUUUAUGAGUUUCGUUAACGAUCGAAAUUCGAGACCAUUUUUAUGGUUAGAAAGUAAUGCAUAUUUUUAUACUAUUAAAAAUGCUUUUAAAUGGAUGACGAUAAAUAUCUUCGAACCAUAUUAAUUGUCUUAACAUAUUAAGCCAGCAAACGGCCAAGCGAUUAGUUAACGAGAAAAUACGCGAAAGUAUUUCACGUAAUUACUGUUCAUUUUUUUUUUUUACAGAAAUGGCCCGCGGAGAUUUAUUUUCGGAAUUCAUACAGAAUUUCCAGAUCCAGGAUAUUUCCAACGAGCAAACAAGGAUGUACCAAGAUCCGGCGUCGUCGGCCCAGUCGUCCGACAUGACCGACGUGGAGGUGGCCAUCACGACGUCCAAGACCCCGGCCCUGUCCAGACAAUCGAGCAUGGGAUCCCUGAGCGACAUGCCCUCCAGACCCGGCACCAGCACUCCCUCCGAAGACUACACAGACAGCGAGUCCGAAUCGUCCAGCGUCGGCGACCUCAACUAGCCGCGCCCCACUACACGCCUCCCGCCCGCCCCACCACCUUCAUUUUAUACAUAUUCAUUUUCAUUUUGCUUCCUGUGUAAUUACGUCACUACAAACAACGCAUUCGAGUUUUAAUUUAAAUUUUAUUUUAAAGUAGACUCUCGAUCGGUCCGCUACGGAAUCCGAGCGCGGAACGACCACCCACGGCUUCGUACGGCACGUUAUCGGGAAAAACGCACAACCGUUGGUUUCUGCGGUAGCCUCUUAACGCGUAAUCCAAACAAAUCAAAAUUAAUCGACGGGCCUUUCCCUUACGUUCGACACCGAUUAUGCAAAUUUCCUUCGGCCCGAUCAGUAAAUCCACCGCAUUUUGCCCGUGCCGCCCGCCGAGCGAUUUCGGAAGCGUCCCGACGCGGAACCCACCGGAACCGCGCGUCUCACUACGCAAUACUUCGACCACUUCCAGGACCAAGUUUCUAGAAAUUCUCUCGUCUUUUCGGCGGCGCGAGCCGAUAAAUUAUUAUUGUUUGGUGAUUUUGGGGGAGGCGCGGGUGACCCGCGCGUUAAUUUUUUCGGGCCUCCUUCCGCCGUCGCUAAUUGUGGGUCGCGCUGGGAGUCGACUCCGGACGCGGCCGGAAAGUACGUAGUGCCACUCGCCAAUGUAUAUAAUUGUUACCGAUUUUUUUUAAUUGUAUAAUCAUUUUCAAAUGUAGUACGUAAUUUCCAUUGUAUUUGAAUAUUAAUACAAAUAUAUUAAAAGAGAGUAAUAUUUGACAAGAUA